GUUGUGAGAUUUAAUUUCAUGAACCAAACACACUACAUAUUUAAUAUAUCAAGAUACAAUCUUGCAAACCGAACAACCCCUUAAGAAAAUUCUCAAUCUGAACACUGAACAAAACUUUCUACCUUAAAACUCGAGCAUGAUUCACUAACCAAACAGAUCUAUUAUUGACACAACAUAAUUUGGGUUGACAUAAGCAUGUGCCUCUGAACAUUGGAUCACAAUUUCUGAAUUCUAAUGUGAAGUUGGUUGAUUUACUCUUUGGUGCGGAUAUUGUAGAGGUAACCGAUAAGGGGUUUGUCACUCCUGAUUUAUCUGUAGUUACUAAGCAAAAUGGGAUUGAAUGGAUUGUUGAAGGAAGUGUGAAGAGGUGCUUGGAAGAUGAGUUUGAUAGCUGUGAUGAUGUCUCCUUUGGAAAGAUCAAGAAGAAGAUGAAGAAAGUAAAUGUGAUUGAAGAAGAUGAUGAGGCUUCUGUCAGCUACAGUCAGGACAUAUCUAUUGGUGAUUAGUGUGGGAAAAACUUAUGAAUUUAGGUGUUUUUUAUUUUUGCUUAACCUUUUUGAACUUAUCAGAAUCUUCAUCUUAGUUUUUUUUUUGGUAUUAUUUAGCACUUUUAAGAUGAAUUUGAUCUGUAUUCACGGCUGAUGCCUUUUUUUUAAUGAAUUUUCUUUUAGUUUA
Salvia hispanica is the source of this 675-nucleotide non-coding RNA. The record is from RefSeq and is a predicted model, not a curated record. Lineage: Eukaryota; Viridiplantae; Streptophyta; Magnoliopsida; Lamiales; Lamiaceae.